RNAcentral lists this ribosomal RNA (498 nucleotides) under uncultured bacterium. RNAcentral describes it as "partial 16S ribosomal RNA". It matches the Rfam family "Bacterial small subunit ribosomal RNA", at positions 899 to 1397 of the family's 1533-position model. The record is from RNAcentral.
ACUCAAAGGAAUUGACGGGGGCCCGCACAAGUGGUGGAGCAUGUGGUUUAAUUCGAUGAUACGCGAGGAACCUUACCUAGGCUAGAAUGCGCGUGACCGACUCAGAGAUGGGUCUUUCCUUCGGGACACAAAGCAAGGUGCUGCAUGGCCGUCGUCAGCUCGUGCCGUGAGGUGUUGGGUUAAGUCCCGCAACGAGCGCAACCCCUAUGUUUAGUUGCCAUCAGGUUAUGCUGGGGACUCUAGACAGACUGCCUGCGCAAGCAGUGAGGAAGGCGGGGACGACGUCAGGUCAUCAUGGCCCUUACGCCUAGGGCUACACACGUGCUACAAUGGCCGGUACAGAGGGUCGCUACACAGUGAUGUGAUGCCAAUCUCAAAAAACCGGUCUCAGUUCGGAUCGGAGUCUGCAACUCGACUCCGUGAAGCUGGAAUCACUAGUAAUCGCGUAUCAGCAAUGACGCGGUGAAUACGUUCCCGGGCCUUGUACACACCGCCCGU